GAUGAACGCUGGCGGCGUGCUUAACACAUGCAAGUCGAACGGAAAGGCCAGUGCUUGCACUGGUGCUCGAGUGGCGAACGGGUGAGUAACACGUGGGUGAUCUGCCCUGCACUUUGGGAUAAGCCUGGGAAACUGGGGCUAAUACCAGAUAGGACCAUGCUCUGGAUGGUGUGGUGGAAAGUUUUUGCGGUGUGGGAUGAGCUUGCGGCCUAUCAGCUUGUUGGUGGGGUAAUGGCCUACCAAGGCGUCGACGGGUAGCCGGCCUGGGAGGGUGUACGGCCACAAUGGGACUGAGGAACGGGCCAGACCUCUACGGGGGGCAGGAGGGGGGAAAAAUGGACAAGGGGGGCAAGCCUGAUGCAGGGAAGCCGGGGGGGGGAUGACGGGCUUUGGGUUGGAAACUCCUUUCGGCACUGACGAAGCUGUUUGUGACGGUAAGUGGUGAAGAAGCACCGGCUAACUACGUG
This 467-nucleotide ribosomal RNA is filed under the name uncultured bacterium. RNAcentral describes it as "partial 16S ribosomal RNA". It matches the Rfam family "Bacterial small subunit ribosomal RNA", at positions 28 to 507 of the family's 1533-position model. The record is from RNAcentral.